Molecule: ribosomal RNA, 402 nt
Filed under: uncultured bacterium
Lineage: Bacteria
Description: bacterial SSU rRNA
Rfam family: Bacterial small subunit ribosomal RNA
Source: RNAcentral
GGGGAAUCUUGCGCAAUGGGCGAAAGCCUGACGCAGCGACGCCGUGUGUGUGAUGAAGGUUUUCGGAUCGUAAAGCACUGUCGCCCGGGACAAAUCAAUGAUGGUACCGGGAGAGGAAGCACCGGCUAACUCUGUGCCAGCAGCCGCGGUAAUACAGAGGGUGCGAGCGUUGUUCGGAAUUAUUGGGCGUAAAGCGCUGGUAGGUGGCUUGUUAAGUCGCGUGUGAAAUCUCCAGGCUCAACCUGGAAAGUGCGCGCGAAACUGGCGAGCUUGAGUGCCGGAGAGGGUCGCGGAAUUCCCGGUGUAGAGGUGAAAUUCGUAGAUAUCGGGAGGAACACCAGAGGCGAAGGCGGCGACCUGGAAGGUAACUGACACUGAGCAGCGAAAGCGUGGGGAGCAAAC